GGCUUGAUUCUGUGAACUC
RNAcentral lists this non-coding RNA (19 nucleotides) under Arabidopsis thaliana (thale cress). Lineage: Eukaryota; Viridiplantae; Streptophyta; Magnoliopsida; Brassicales; Brassicaceae. The record is from RNAcentral.